GUAGGGAAUCUUCGGCAAUGGGGGCAACCCUGACCGAGCAACGCCGCGUGAGUGAAGAAGGUUUUCGGAUCGUAAAGCUCUGUUGUAAGUCAAGAACGAGUGUGAGAGUGGAAAGUUCACACUGUGACGGUAGCUUACCAGAAAGGGACGGCUAACUACGUGCCAGCAGCCGCGGUAAUACGUAGGUCCCGAGCGUUGUCCGGAUUUAUUGGGCGUAAAGCGAGCGCAGGCGGUUUGAUAAGUCUGAAGUUAAAGGCUGUGGCUCAACCAUAGUUCGCUUUGGAAACUGUCAAACUUGAGUGCAGAAGGGGAGAGUGGAAUUCCAUGUGUAGCGGUGAAAUGCGUAGAUAUAUGGAGGAACACCGGUGGCGAAAGCGGCUCUCUGGUCUGUAACUGACGCUGAGGCUCGAAAGCGUGGGGAGCGAACAGGAUUAGAAACCCCAGUAGUCC
This 450-nucleotide ribosomal RNA is filed under the name uncultured bacterium. Its description in RNAcentral is "partial 16S ribosomal RNA". It matches the Rfam family "Bacterial small subunit ribosomal RNA", at positions 354 to 796 of the family's 1533-position model. RNAcentral also lists the same sequence under 1 other name. The record is from RNAcentral.